RNAcentral lists this ribosomal RNA (253 nucleotides) under uncultured bacterium. Its description in RNAcentral is "partial 16S ribosomal RNA". It matches the Rfam family "Bacterial small subunit ribosomal RNA", at positions 524 to 776 of the family's 1533-position model. The record is from RNAcentral.
UACGUAGGGUGCAAGCGUUAAUCGGAAUUACUGGGCGUAAAGCGUGCGCAGGCGGUUUUGUAAGACUGUCGUGAAAUCCCCGGGCUUAACCUGGGAAUGGCGAUGGUGACUGCAAGGCUAGAGUUUGGCAGAGGGGGGUAGAAUUCCACGUGUAGCAGUGAAAUGCGUAGAUAUGUGGAGGAACACCGAUGGCGAAGGCAGCCCCCUGGGUCAAAACUGACGCUCAUGCACGAAAGCGUGGGGGGCAAACAGG